Molecule: ribosomal RNA, 253 nt
Filed under: uncultured bacterium
Lineage: Bacteria
Description: partial 16S ribosomal RNA
Rfam family: Bacterial small subunit ribosomal RNA
Source: RNAcentral
UACAGAGGGUGCUAGCGUUGUUCGGAAUCAUUGGGCGUAAAGGGCGUGUAGGCGGUUUGUUAAGUCAUGUGUGAAAUCCCUCGGCUCAACCGGGGAACGACGCAUGAAACUGGCAAGCUAGAGUACCAAAGAGGGGGGUGGAAUUCCUGGUGUAGCGGUGAAAUGCGCAGAUAUCAGGAAGAACACCAAUGGCGAAGGCAGCUCUCUGGGACGGUACUGACGCUGAGACGCGAAAGCGUGGGGAGCGAACAGG